CAGUAGCCACGGGAAUACGUAGGUGGCAAGCGUUGUCCGGAAUUAUUGGGCGUAAAGGGCUCGCAGGCGGUUUCUUAAGUCUGAUGUGAAAGCCCCCGGCUCAACCGGGGAGGGUCAUUGGAAACUGGGAAACCUGAGUGCAGAAGAGGAGAGUGGAAUUCCACGUGUAGCGGUGAAAUGCGUAGAGAUGUGGAGGAACACCAGUGGCGAAGGCGACUCUCUGGUCUGUAACUGACGCUGAGGAGCGAAAGCGUGGGGAGCGAACAGGAUUAGAUACCCGAGUAGUCCCUGUCUCUUAUAC
Molecule: ribosomal RNA, 301 nt
Filed under: uncultured bacterium
Lineage: Bacteria
Description: partial 16S ribosomal RNA
Rfam family: Bacterial small subunit ribosomal RNA
Source: RNAcentral